Molecule: ribosomal RNA, 795 nt
Filed under: uncultured marine bacterium
Lineage: Bacteria
Description: bacterial SSU rRNA
Rfam family: Bacterial small subunit ribosomal RNA
Source: RNAcentral
UGCAGUCGAAGGAGAAGGUAGAAGCUUGCUCUUACUGGAGACUGGCGGACGGGUGAGUAACGCGUAGAUAACCUGCCUAUAGCUGGGGGAUAACACUGCGAAAGUGGUGCUAAUACCGCAUAAUGCAGCGGGGCCGCAUGGCCAUAGUUGUUAAAGGUUUCGGCCGGCUAUAGAUGGGUCUGCGUGCUAUUAGUUAGUUGGUAGGGUAACGGCCUACCAAGGCGAUGAUAGCUAGGGGGUCUGAGAGGAUGAUCCCCCACACUGGGACCGAGACACGGCCCAGACUCCUACGGGAGGCAGCAGUGAGGAAUCUUGCGCAAUGGGCGAAAGCCUGACGCAGCCACGCCGCGUGCCGGAUGAAGGCCCUAUGGGUUGUAAACGGCUUUUACUAGGGAAGAACGAGAGGGUUUCGAUCUUCUGUGACGGUACCUAGUGAAUAAGCACCGGCUAACUCCGUGCCAGCAGCCGCGGUAAUACGGAGGGUGCAAGCGUUGUCCGGAAUCAUUGGGUGUAAAGGGUACGUAGGCGGGAGCCUAAGUCUGGGGUGAAAUCUUGCCGCUUAACGGUAAAAUGGCCCUGGAUACUGGGUUUCUUGAGUGCAGAAGAGGCAGGUGGAAUUCGUGGUGUAGCGGUGAAAUGCUUAGAUAUCACGAAGAACAUCAGUGGCGAAGGCGGCCUGCUGGUCUGCAACUGACGCUGAGGUACGAAAGCGUGGGGAGCGAACAGGAUUAGAUACCCUGGUAGUCCACGCCGUAAACGAUGCAUACUAGGUGUUGGCCUUUGGGCCAGUGCUGC